This 73-nucleotide transfer RNA is filed under the name Corchorus capsularis. RNAcentral's name for it is "tRNA CCACVL1_18110". It matches the Rfam family "tRNA". Rfam says of the family: Transfer RNA (tRNA) molecules are approximately 80 nucleotides in length. Their secondary structure includes four short double-helical elements and three loops (D, anti-codon, and T loops). Lineage: Eukaryota; Viridiplantae; Streptophyta; Magnoliopsida; Malvales; Malvaceae. The record is from Rfam by way of RNAcentral.
UCACCCAUGGCCUAAUGAAUAAGGCGCCUGACUUCUAAUCAAGCAAUUGUGGGUUCGAGUCGCACUGGGUGUG